UACAGAGGGUGCAAGCGUUAAUCGGAAUCACUGGGCGUAAAGGGCGCGUAGGCGGCGCGGGCAGUCAACGGUGAAAGCUCGGGGCUCAACUCCGAGUCGGCCGUCGAUACUCCCGUGCUCGAGCACUGUAGAGGCAGGUGGAAUUCCGGGUGUAGCGGUGGAAUGCGUAGAGAUCCGGAAGAACACCGGUGGCGAAGGCGGCCUGCUGGGCAGUAGCUGACGCUGAGGCGCGACAGCGUGGGGAGCAAACAGG
This 253-nucleotide ribosomal RNA is filed under the name uncultured bacterium. RNAcentral's name for it is "partial 16S ribosomal RNA". It matches the Rfam family "Bacterial small subunit ribosomal RNA", at positions 524 to 776 of the family's 1533-position model. The record is from RNAcentral.